Long non-coding RNA from Monodelphis domestica (gray short-tailed opossum), 1812 nucleotides. Lineage: Eukaryota; Metazoa; Chordata; Mammalia; Didelphimorphia; Didelphidae. The record is from Ensembl.
AGGGCAGGAGCUGGAGAAGGCAGUGCAUCUGCUCAAGGCCAAGCCUCCGUUUGUCAGCAGCUCCCUGGGAGUCCCAACUUUGAGCCUUUUCUCCCUCUCCUCUAAACAGACCAAACAGGAUUUUCUGUUGGCUAUCUGGAGGUAAAGCUUCUCCCCAGAAAUCCCCCAAGCUUCUGUCCCAUCCUGUUUUGGUAAUCCCCACUUUGGUCCGGGGCCUUUUCAAGCUUUGGAUAAUGUGUGAACAAUUGUACUGAAAUAGCCUAAAAACUGUUGAACUAGUCUUUGACCUCUGGGGCUUUGGCUUGAGUUGGGUCAACAGAACUAAGAAGGAAAACAAACUGGGGUCUCCUAAUGAGCCCCUUUCCUCAGUAAAAUGGGGAGAAAGUAACAGCUAGAGUCUCUUUCGGAGUCUUUCCUGCCCUGAGAGUGAAUCUCCCUUUUCUGUUGUUUUUCAGUUUGUUGCUCAGGAAUUUAGAACUGGGAAGGCUCUUUCAGCCUCUUGAUUUUGUCACAAAUGAGAAAACUGAGGCUGAGGGAGGUAAAGGGACUCAGUCAAAGUUACCCAGGGCUGUCCUUUGGCUCAGAACAAAUAAAAUCUAAACCCUCCUUCACAUACGGUUUUCAAAAGUUUUGUUGUCAUUGCUGCUGUUAUCACCAUUGUUCAGUGGUUUCACAUUUAACUCUCCAUGAUCCCAUUCGGAGUUCUCUUGGCAAAGAUACUGGAGAGGUUUGUCAUUUCCUUCUCCAACUCAUUUUGCAGAUAAGGAAACUGAGGCAGGGUGAAGUGACUUAUCCAGGGUCACACAGUAAGUGUCUGAGGCCAGGUUUGAACUCAAGAAGAUGAGUUUUCCUGACUCCAGGCCCAGUGCCUUUAUCCACUGCACCACCUACCUGCCCAAAGUCAUAUAAUAUUAAGCAUAUAAUGAGAGUUUAAAACCUAAACAUUUCCAAACUCAAAGCAUAAUACUCUUUCCUCAUACUGUCUUGCCCUCAUUCAUGUAUAACUUGCCUUUGAAACUAAAUGAUAAAGUUCUUGGAGGUAGGGGCCAUAGUGUCAUAUUCUUUAGUUCUAAAAAACAGCCUAAGAGAUCAUGCAGUCCGACUUUCCUCAUUUUAUAGAUUAAGAAACUGAAGUCCAGAAAAGGAAAGCAAGUUUGUCCCAAAUCACACAGAUUUAUUCACUGAGUCAGGACUGGAACCCAGGUCCCCCAAUUCCUGCCCCAAAGAGUACUCUACCUACCACAAUGUGUUGUCUCUCCUUGGAAUGAGACAUUCGGCUUGUACAGAGGAAUAGCAACAGGUCAACUGGAUCAAUAGUCAUUUUUUCUCUAAGAAAUGAACUACAGAAAUGAUAAGUCAGAGGAGUGGAAUGGGGCCAGAUUAUGGAUGGUGGUCUCCAGGGCCAUAACAGAUAGCCAGAAUUUUUUUUUCCCUUAGUCCUCUUUUCCAUGAAGAAAUCUGGUGCUUCAGACUCAGGGGACAAGAUCAAUGGGCUUGGAAUAAGGAAGACCUGGGUUCAUAUCUUGCCCCACAAACUGAUUAGCUUUGUGGCCCUGGGAAAGUCAUUUAUAAACAUCUCCGCCUCCUUUUUGUGGGUUUUAAAAUAUUGGAGUUGGGGGAACUGCAUCCAGCAGGGUAACCUAGGGGGUCCCGCCUUCCUAUUUCCUGGUGUGGGAUUGGUCUUGAGUGGACCAAUCCUGUGCUGGGGAGGGACCAUGCCCUACUUCCUGACAUGGAAUUGGUCUUGAAUUAGACCAAUCCUGUCCUAGGGAGGGGCCAUGCCCCCCCUCCACUUCGGGGAGUGACCAAUCC